Molecule: transfer RNA, 72 nt
Filed under: Planctomycetales bacterium
Lineage: Bacteria; Pseudomonadati; Planctomycetota; Planctomycetia; Planctomycetales
Description: tRNA-Gly
Rfam family: tRNA
About the family: Transfer RNA (tRNA) molecules are approximately 80 nucleotides in length. Their secondary structure includes four short double-helical elements and three loops (D, anti-codon, and T loops).
Source: RNAcentral
GCGGGUGUAGCUCAACGGUAGAGCGCUUGCCUUCCAAGCAAGCCGUUGGCGGUUCGAUUCCGCUCACCCGCU